CAAAGGCUUGGUCCUGACUUUACUAUCAGCUCUAGCUGGAUUUACACAUGCAAGUAUCUGCACCCCUGUGAGAAUGCCCACCCCCGUUUUCCACCACGAAAAUAAGGAGCUGGUAUCAGGCACACUUUUGUAGCCCACGACACCUUGCUUUGCCACACCCCCAAGGGAACUCAGCAGUGACAAACAUUAAGCUAUGAGCGAAAGCUUGACUUAGUUAAAGCUAAGAGGGCCGGUAAAACUCGUGCCAGCCACCGCGGUUAUACGAGGGGCCCAAGUUGAUAGAUAACGGCGUAAAGGGUGGUUAGGGAACAUCAUAUAGUAAAGCCGAACGUCUUCAAUGUUGUUAUAAGCUCUCGAAGAUUGGAAGCCCCACCACGAAAGUGGCUUUACCGCUCCUGAACCCACGAAAGCCAGGGAACAAACUGGGAUUAGAUACCCCACUAUG
This 445-nucleotide ribosomal RNA is filed under the name Mullus surmuletus (striped red mullet). RNAcentral describes it as "partial small subunit ribosomal RNA". It matches the Rfam family "Bacterial small subunit ribosomal RNA", at positions 7 to 794 of the family's 1533-position model. Lineage: Eukaryota; Metazoa; Chordata; Actinopteri; Syngnathiformes; Mullidae. The record is from RNAcentral.